RNAcentral lists this transfer RNA (73 nucleotides) under Herbiconiux sp. RNAcentral's name for it is "tRNA-Glu". It matches the Rfam family "tRNA". From Rfam's summary of the family: Transfer RNA (tRNA) molecules are approximately 80 nucleotides in length. The record is from RNAcentral. Lineage: Bacteria; Bacillati; Actinomycetota; Actinomycetes; Micrococcales; Microbacteriaceae.
GGCCCCAUCGUUUAGCGGCCUAGGACGUCGCCCUUUCACGGCGGUAGCACGGGUUCGAAUCCCGUUGGGGGUG